CCUGGUCCGCCUAGCGGGCCGACUUCCUUGGGACACAGGAAAAGGCCUGGCUAGGCGCAAAGCAUCUCCCAGACGUCCUUGAAGUCAUACCACUCCCUUCUCCAGCACAGCGAUUGUACCUGGAAGACAAAAACAGAGACACCACACCGACCUGCCACAACAACAGGUAAAAUGGCUCCCUAUAUACUCCCCUUACCCAAAAGCCC
Molecule: non-coding RNA, 206 nt
Organism: Pelobates cultripes (western spadefoot toad)
Lineage: Eukaryota; Metazoa; Chordata; Amphibia; Anura; Pelobatidae
Source: the annotation of a GenBank genome assembly